Acanthosepion pharaonis is the source of this 88-nucleotide non-coding RNA. NCBI's taxonomy places the organism in Eukaryota, Metazoa, Mollusca, Cephalopoda, Sepiida, Sepiidae. The record is from the annotation of a GenBank genome assembly.
AGUUCCCGUACGAUCACUGAAGUUAAGCAACGUCGAGCUUGGUCAGUACCUAGCGGAGUGACUGCUUGGGAAUACCAGGUACUGUAAG